Molecule: non-coding RNA, 251 nt
Organism: Pelobates cultripes (western spadefoot toad)
Lineage: Eukaryota; Metazoa; Chordata; Amphibia; Anura; Pelobatidae
Source: the annotation of a GenBank genome assembly
GCACUGAAUAUCAGUUACAUAUUAUGUCAAGCUCCCACUUAUGAUUGAUACUUGGAGUUUUUCAAUGUUAUAAAAGAAUAAAGCAUAUAUGUUCCCUUUUGUGGGGCGGGAUUAACUAGAUCCACUUUUCUGAAAGUCAAUGCGGACCUGCGUGUCCACUUAUCCCGUAAACAAGCCGGCCAAUUGACCUGCAAGAUGUAUGUUUUUUCAUGGAUCACCAGUUUUCCUUACUUGUGUUAUGCAUUUAUUAC